RNAcentral lists this ribosomal RNA (455 nucleotides) under Pseudoalteromonas sp. RKVR07. Its description in RNAcentral is "bacterial SSU rRNA". It matches the Rfam family "Bacterial small subunit ribosomal RNA", at positions 1 to 455 of the family's 1533-position model. The record is from RNAcentral. Lineage: Bacteria; Pseudomonadati; Pseudomonadota; Gammaproteobacteria; Alteromonadales; Pseudoalteromonadaceae.
AUCACCUCCUUUAGAGUUUGAUCCUGGCUCAGAUUGAACGCUGGCGGCAGGCCUAACACAUGCAAGUCGAGCGGUAACAUUUCUAGCUUGCUAGAAGAUGACGAGCGGCGGACGGGUGAGUAAUGCUUGGGAACAUGCCUUGAGGUGGGGGACAACCAUUGGAAACGAUGGCUAAUACCGCAUAAUGUCUACGGACCAAAGGGGGCUUCGGCUCUCGCCUUUAGAUUGGCCCAAGUGGGAUUAGCUAGUUGGUGAGGUAAAGGCUCACCAAGGCGACGAUCCCUAGCUGGUUUGAGAGGAUGAUCAGCCACACUGGAACUGAGACACGGUCCAGACUCCUACGGGAGGCAGCAGUGGGGAAUAUUGCACAAUGGGCGCAAGCCUGAUGCAGCCAUGCCGCGUGUGUGAAGAAGGCCUUCGGGUUGUAAAGCACUUUCAGUCAGGAGGAAAGGUUA